AGGGCCCCCAGAUGGCUGACUUUACAAAGAAGAAAGUGACAAGCCAAGGGCUUAACCGGCCUACUUCGCCUCGGGCUCAACUUUGGAGACGACCUUCAUUUUUGGCCUCAACAACAGCCGUCGCCUUGGCCUCUGAAGCGACUUCGGCGAGGUCCGCCUCGACAGCAAACUCAAGAGUUCCCACUGACUCGCCCACCUCA
RNAcentral lists this long non-coding RNA (200 nucleotides) under Phoenix dactylifera (date palm). Its description in RNAcentral is "long non-coding RNA (PDAC_LNC010726)". The record is from RNAcentral. Lineage: Eukaryota; Viridiplantae; Streptophyta; Magnoliopsida; Arecales; Arecaceae.